Carassius auratus (goldfish) is the source of this 2709-nucleotide long non-coding RNA. RefSeq lists it as uncharacterized. NCBI's taxonomy places the organism in Eukaryota, Metazoa, Chordata, Actinopteri, Cypriniformes, Cyprinidae. The record is from RefSeq and is a predicted model, not a curated record. The transcript has 3 exons.
UUGUAUUAUUUUUUUUUUUAUAAUUUUCCAUAAUUUUUCUCCAAAGCUGCUUUUUGAGCUAUGGAAACCAAAAGCAAAAGGAUUUAUGUGAUGUCUGUCUGAAUGUCUGACUGGGGUUAGAGGGGUAUUUCAAUCAAAACAUUUUUCCAUCUAAUAAUCCACAUUCCCUUCAAAACCAGUCUGACUGGAUUCAUGACUAAAAAAUGAUGUUUAGGAGGACCACAAAUAUAGUGCACUAGUCUUAUGGACUACUGUUACGAUACUUGUAUUGUGCUUUUUUUUUGUACUAUUGAGCUUGACAGGAGGGCAGUCCCAAGCAUGGAGAUUUGCCAAAUGUGAGUUAGAGAAUACAGGUCCCUAAUCAGUCCCCUAAUCAGCCCCCCAUGGACUUGUCUGCUUGAUAGACUUGGUCACUAUUUACUUCCAUUAAAUGGAAGAGAGCAGCUUCAACAUUCUACUUAAAAUCUCUGGAAAAAAGUCAGUUCUACAAAUUGAGGUUGAUUUUUGGGUGAACUCUCUGUCAGUUCUACAGAUUGAGGUUGAUUUUUUGGGUGAACUCUCCCUGUAAACCUGAACUGUGCCAGGCAUCUUCUGAUUGGAGUAUUAAAUUAUUCAGUCAGAUAAGGUCCUUGCACAUCCCACCAGAACAGCAUGUGGCCACAAAGCUGCACCCUGCUGUGGAACCAGGACAUAAGCUUGGGAGAAGUAGAUGAGAAUGACGAGAAGGGUGGCCAUGAGAAGUAGUGGAGGGAGAGAUAUGAGAGCUGGCUCUGUGCCAGAGUUAGCAAAUGGAGCCUAAAAGAAGUUCUUCAGUGGGUGGAAUGUGAUAAGAGAGUGUCUGAUGUACAUGCGUCUCCCUUUGCCUUGAAGCUGCAGACACAGACACAUGUUUUUAGAUUUGUGGAGCGAGACGGUCUGUGCUCAGACGGGGAGGUGAAUCUCUUCCGCUCGGCUUCUUUUUGGUCUCUUAGUGGGGUUCUGCUCUGUCAUUCCAGUUUGCCCUUCACGUCUCAGACAUACAGAUCAGGUCUGAGUGCACAGGUGAAUGUGGAAGAACUUGGGUUGGUGUACUUUUAAACACAACUAAUCCAUUUCAGCUGAACCUGUCUGGUCCAUCUUUCCCUAUGGUAACAAUCCCUGUAUGAUUUACAUGAAGUUAUGUUUAUUGCGGAUGAAAUGGAAUCAAACGCUGUGGUUGACGACAUUGAUAUCCUUCAAUUUGUAUGGCAUCAGUCUAUCUAGUCAGAGUUUGGAAGUAAGAAUGGCAUGACAGUUAAGAGCCAGUGUGAGAGGGUUUCUGGCUUGUUUAUGGAACCUUCACUUACUACCGAUUGAGCUGGUGCAGCAGUUAUGCCUCUGAUUCAGUUUGCAUUGGCGUAGAGUUGCGCUUGAGCAGGGGUGUCCAAUUCUGCUUUUGAAUGGCCGACAUCCUGCAGAAUUUAUCUCUGGCGCACCUGCCUGUAAAUUUCUAGAAAUCCUAAACACUUUGAUUUAACACAUUCAGGUGCAUUUAAUCAUGGCUAGAGCUAUGCUCCGUGAGAUGGUGUCCCUCUAGGAGCAGAGUCGAACACCCCUGAGGGAGCAAAAGAACGGAGUAAACAAACAAGGCCUCAUGCAAAGUCUGUUUAAAAGAUUUUUUUUUCACUUUGAGUUCCACGUUGUUUUUUGGAAAUGUGACUUUGUAAAUCGGGGAUAGCCGACCCAGUUUCUAGAGGGCAACCAUCCUGCAGAGUUUACUGUAGCUCCAACCCUAAUCAAACUCAUUUGAACCUGGUGUGUUUGAGUAAGUUUGGAACGAUGUUUGCAAAAGUGUAGUCAAGAGCAGGAUUUGCUACCCCUGCCCCAAAGACAUCUUAAAGUUUAAUAUAUGUUGAGAUCAGGGGUGUAACCAACACUUUUCCUGCAGAAUUUUUCUCCAACUGUAAGCGAACACACCUGAACCUGUUAAUCAAGGUUAUAUCACAGACAGGUGUGUUAGAGCAAGGUUGGAACUGAAAUACUCCAAACACUUGCUAACUUGAACUGUACGGUCCCAUUGUUUUGAGAUGGUGUGGUUUGUAAGAAAGCGAAGGAUGGUCAUUUCAGCUGUCCCGACAGUCAGCUGAUGUAAGAGCUGCCUGGUGAGACACAUCAAACCUCCAGUGAGCACCUUUCCUCAUCUCAUUCAUAAUGUAGAGGCAGCUCGUCCAGUUCCUGGAAGGACAGGUCCGCAGACAGAUCCCUGAGGUCUGACUAUCACCACCUUUCCUACACUGAAGUUGGAUUUAGAAGGCUUCAUUUGAUACAGGACCCUCAAGGGAGAAUUGAGCCCUGUUGGAUAAAAAGAGGCAGGAUGUGGGCACUCCCGAAAGUGCGUCUGUAACUGCAGGGGCUCAUCUGAGAGCAGAGUCCUGGUGCUCUCAAGUUAUUUUGGAUGACAUUGACCUAUUUUUGGCUCUGCUGCUGAAUAAAAAUACCUCUGUCUAAAUGUCUCCGUGUGCAUUAGAGACACCUUGUCUGAGCAGAGACACCUGCUCUAAAGACCUGUGUGGGAAAAGCUCUCAACUCUUCCCUCAUAGCCUUUUUCUUUAUUUGUCACAAUAUGUAAAAGUCAGGUUAAUGUCUAUAUGUUAAAUGUGUUUGUUGUCGUUUGUGUGUAAUCUUAUGCAGAGGAAAAUCAUGAUUCAUUAUGAUCAUUCUAUGAAUCCCAACCAGUGCUGUUCCCUGUUU